GCCUAAUACAUGCAAGUAGAACGCUGAAGAGAGGAGCUUGCUCUUCUUGGAUGAGUUGCGAACGGGUGAGUAACGCGUAGGUAACCUGCCUUGUAGCGGGGGAUAACUAUUGGAAACGAUAGCUAAUACCGCAUAACAAUGGAUGACACAUGUCAUUUAUUUGAAAGGGGCAAUUGCUCCACUACAAGAUGGACCUGCGUUGUAUUAGCUAGUAGGUGAGGUAAUGGCUCACCUAGGCGACGAUACAUAGCCGACCUGAGAGGGUGAUCGGCCACACUGGGACUGAGACACGGCCCAGACUCCUACGGGAGGCAGCAGUAGGGAAUCUUCGGCAAUGGGGGCAACCCUGACCGAGCAACGCCGCGUGAGUGAAGAAGGUUUUCGGAUCGUAAAGCUCUGUUGUAAGUCAAGAACGGGUGUGAGAGUGGAAAGUUCACACUGUGACGGUAGCUUACCAGAAAGGGACGGCUAACUACGUGCCAGCAGCCGCGGUAAUACGUAGGUCCCGAGCGUUGUCCGGAUUUAUUGGGCGUAAAGCGAGCGCAGGCGGUUUGAUAAGUCUGAAGUUAAAGGCUGUGGCUCAACCAUAGUUCGCUUUGGAAACUGUCAAACUUGAGUGCAGAAGGGGAGAGUGGAAUUCCAUGUGUAGCGGUGAAAUGCGUAGAUAUAUGGAGGAACACCGGUGGCGAAAGCGGCUCUCUGGUCUGUAACUGACGCUGAGGCUCGAAAGCGUGGGGAGCGAACAGGAUUAGAUACCCUGGUAGUCCACGCCGUAAACGAUGAGUGCUAGGUGUUGGAUCCUUUCCGGGAUUCAGUGCCGCAGCUAACGCAUUAAGCACUCCGCCUGGGGAGUACGACCGCAAGGUUGAAACUCAAAGGAAUUGACGGGGGCCCGCACAAGCGGUGGAGCAUGUGGUUUAAUUCGAAGCAACGCGAAGAACCUUACCAGGUCUUGACAUCCCGAUGCUAUUUCUAGAGAUAGAAAGUUACUUCGGUACAUCGGUGACAGGUGGUGCAUGGUUGUCGUCAGCUCGUGUCGUGAGAUGUUGGGUUAAGUCCCGCAACGAGCGCAACCCCUAUUGUUAGUUGCCAUCAUUCAGUUGGGCACUCUAGCGAGACUGCCGGUAAUAAACCGGAGGAAGGUGGGGAUGACGUCAAAUCAUCAUGCCCCUUAUGACCUGGGCUACACACGUGCUACAAUGGUUGGUACAACGAGUUGCGAGUCGGUGACGGCGAGCUAAUCUCUUAAAGCCAAUCUCAGUUCGGAUUGUAGGCUGCAACUCGCCUACAUGAAGUCGGAAUCGCUAGUAAUCGCGGAUCAGCACGCCGCGGUGAAUACGUUCCCGGGCCUUGUACACACCGCCCGUCACACCACGAGAGUUUGUAACACCCGAAGUCGGUGAGGUAACCUUUUGGAGCCAGCCGCCUAAGGUGGGACAGAUGAUUGGGGUGAAGUC
This 1457-nucleotide ribosomal RNA is filed under the name Streptococcus thermophilus. Its description in RNAcentral is "bacterial SSU rRNA". It matches the Rfam family "Bacterial small subunit ribosomal RNA". Lineage: Bacteria; Bacillati; Bacillota; Bacilli; Lactobacillales; Streptococcaceae. The record is from RNAcentral.